GACGAACGCUGGCGGCGUGCUUAACACAUGCAAGUCGAACGGAAAGGCCCUGCUUUUGUGGGGUGCUCGAGUGGCGAACGGGUGAGUAACACUUGAGUAACCUGCCCUUGACUUUGGGAUAACUUCAGGAAACUGGGGCUAAUACCGGAUAGGAGCUCCUGCUGCAUGGUGGGGGUUGGAAAGUUUGGGCGGUUGGGGAUGGACUCGCGGCUUAUCAGCUUGUUGGUGGGGUAGUGGCUUACCAAGGCUUUGACGGGUAGCCGGCCUGAGAGGGUGACCGGCCACAUUGGGACUGAGCUACGGCCCAGACUCCUACGGGAGGCAGCAGUGGGGAAUAUUGCACAAUGGGCGGAAGCCUGAUGCAGCAACGCCGCGUGCGGGAUGACGGCCUUCGGGUUGUAAACCGCUUUCGCCUGUGACGAAGCGUGAGUGACGGUAAUGGGUAAAGAAGCACCGGCUAACUACGUG
RNAcentral lists this ribosomal RNA (468 nucleotides) under uncultured bacterium. Its description in RNAcentral is "partial 16S ribosomal RNA". It matches the Rfam family "Bacterial small subunit ribosomal RNA", at positions 28 to 507 of the family's 1533-position model. The record is from RNAcentral.